RNAcentral lists this transfer RNA (69 nucleotides) under Danionella translucida. It matches the Rfam family "tRNA". Rfam says of the family: Transfer RNA (tRNA) molecules are approximately 80 nucleotides in length. Lineage: Eukaryota; Metazoa; Chordata; Actinopteri; Cypriniformes; Danionidae. The record is from Rfam by way of RNAcentral. RNAcentral also lists the same sequence under 1 other name.
UUUCCUGUGGCACAGUUGGUAGAGCAAUGUGCUAACAAUGCAAAGUUGUGGGUUCAAAUCCCAGGAAAA